UUUUUAUGUGGUGCUGAGGAUCGAACACAGUGCCUCGUGCAUGCCAGAAACAGCACAGGAACCUCUGAAUGCUUGCGUGGAUUUUACCACAGGACAAGGAAGUCCAUGCUGCAAACAAAGAAAAACGGGGCAUUUGAGUUGGGAAGAUAAGGAAGCAAUCAUUUCAAGGAGAUAAGACUCUGGGCCUAUCAGGACAGAAUGGAAAUGAAAGGGCUUCAGGAAGCCAGAGGCAGGCAUUAGUCCUUGUCUGCCUUAACUCUUUGUGUUCAGGCGCUGCGGCGCUCGCCCAGACGAGGCCAGGCUUUCGUUUCGCCUUCGGGACCCAGAAGCCUGCUUCCAGACGGGUGUGAACACCAACGCACUCAACCUCGACUAGGCGCUUCCUUCCCAACUCCGGCCCUGCUUCAGCUCCAGACUAAACUCGGGUCGCGUCUGCUUGCUCCAGGCCGAACCAUGACAGGGCAAUUCAGGUGGACCAUCGGGCGAACUUGAUUCACUCACCUACUUGGUAAAGCCGGCCCUCGGGCGAAAAAAUGGUAAUGUGGCGGUCAAAACCAGCGCUGGAACCACGGGACAUGUUGGUACACCCACUACUUCAAACACAGUCUCGGGACCCCCGGAGCUCCGGCACCAGGCGUACAAACCCCUGCGGAAGUUGCAGUGACUGCUUCCGGGGCACCGGCCGGUCUUCUUCCGCUCCGGCCGGCCGAACUCACGGCCCUAGCGUUCAUUCAAGCGAGGAGGGAGUUUUAGGGUCCCGCCCCCAUUAGGGGUGGGACGCCGAGGGCCGAAGGUCUUCGGAUUGCGCUUGCGCCUGGCUUGCUCUUGAGCUUGUGGAAGAUGGUCAGGUGAAGUGGGGGUCGUGCAGUCUUAGGGCUUGCAUGCUGAGAAUGAGUUGACUACAGCAAGAACGAAGCAGCUAAAUAUUAAAAAGAGAGAAGGUGUGUGUGUGUGUGUGUGGGUCAGCGGUAGCGCACUUGCCUGGCACGUGUGAGGCACUGGUUUCGAGACGCAGCACCACCUAUAAAUAAGUAAAAUAAAAGAUCUAUCAACAACUAGAAAAAAGUAUUUUUUAAAAAAGAACGAAGCAGAUUUCUAGGGCUGCUGGGUAGUUAUUUGCCUAUCAGUGUGAUCACGUAAUGUAAUCACAUCUCGUUAGUAGUGGCAUCUUACAUCCAACCUGUGUCUGACCUGAACGCUAGUUGUUCUUCCUUACUUCCACGUUACUUGCCACUUUCCUUCCUACGACGGAGGCGGGGUGGGUAGGAUAGCAGCUGCAGUAGCAGUAACCCUAAAAUGUAGGCUCUGAAGGGGUUCAAGUAGUCACUGGAAAGAACGGAAUUUUCUUCUAUCCUGGCAAGAUCUUCCUUUGGACAGCAAUUUUUUUUUUUUUUUUUUUUUUUUUAGAAGUGGAACUAAGGUUGAAAUACAGGUAAUGGGGAAAUCCGGAGGUUAGCAGCCUUGAUGGAUAAUGAACAAGAUCAGAAGGGAUGAGCAGGAGCAGAGAUCAGAGGGCCUGAUUUGGAAAAUACCCAUUUCAUUAAGGAUUUGACCACUCCUGCCAGAAUGGACCAAGUGCCAAAGGACGUGACCUUUAAUUUGAGCCAAUAGCUAUUAUCAGUGAGACAGCUUCCUGAAACACAAAUUUCCUUCUGAACACAAGCAAACCUUGAGGAGAAAUUUGAGUAUAAAAAUAUGUGAAUAGUAUUUUAUGAUAUACAGCAAUGCCGUAAUUUAAGCUAGUUGAUUCUUUUUAUAAACUUACAUUUUAUGAUUACAUAAUAGAAUACAUAAGGAAGAAGUGGUAGAAGACUAUAAGAACAAGAAAAAGUGUUCAUUUUCUGUCAGAUUAAAAAAUGUUACAAAGAAGUGUACACAGAAUGAUUCUUUUUUUAGAAAAUGGAUAUACGUACGAACAAUAGUAAUAGAUGUCAGCUACGGAACAGGAUUAAAAAAAUGUAACUUUCGGUUCUAGGGCAAGGUCAUUGAAAAGAAGAAACUUCAAGAACAAUUUACUUCCAAAGAAUUAUUAGUGCCCAUUAAAAAAGAUGGACAUAGGAGGUGAUAUACUAUAUUAUUAUAGUACAUCUUAGGUAACAAGUCUAGAUGGGGGACUUACCUUUUCGAGGUCUUGCCAUAGCUACCUCCAAAGGAACCUGUUUCAUACAGGUGAUGACUCUAUCCCAUUCUCCCAGCGCAGCACUCCACUGUGCUCUACAACAGCCAAAUGGACAGAAUUUUCAGGAAUUCCAUUUGCAUGUAUCAGGACACUGAUGUUCUUCUGUUCUGAUGUUGUCAUAAAUACCACAAGAGAUCUCCUUUAAUAAUGAACUUUAGGGCUGAGGAUACAGCUCAGUUGGCAGAGUGCUUGCCUUACAUGCAGAAGAUCUUGGGUUCAAUCCCCAUCACCAUAAAAAAAAAAAAAAAAAAAAAAGACUUUAGGCCAGGUAUGGUGGCGAACACAUGUAAUCCCAUCAAUUUGGGAGGCUGAGGCAGGAGGAUUGAGAGUUCAAGCCUUAGCAAUUUAGUGAGACCCUGUCUCAAAAAAUAAAAAGAGCUGGGGAUCCCUGGGUUCAAUCACUAGUACAAAAACAAAACAAAACAACAACAAAAGGUCUUUAAAUACAUAGAUGUGAGCAUUUCUGGGCCUAGUCAUGAACACAGGAAGGAGAAAGAUAAGGGGGGAAACGGCAGGAGAACAAAGGAAGCCUAGACAUAUAAAAAGGACAGAACACCUCGCUUCUUAGGAUACCAGGAUACCAGCAAUGGCCCAUUUCUCCCUCCCGGGAGAAGUCUGUUACCCCUUUUAAAAUAAACCCUGCUUUAUAUGCUUGAAAAAAAAUAAAAUAAAUACAUAGAUGUGAACUGAACUUGAAACCUAAUAAUGUUCUAUCUAGCUCAGUUGAAAGUGAUGAGACAAAGUGACUUAGUCUCUUGAAAAUGAAUUUAUUUCUC
Molecule: long non-coding RNA, 2955 nt
Organism: Marmota monax (woodchuck)
Lineage: Eukaryota; Metazoa; Chordata; Mammalia; Rodentia; Sciuridae
Exons: 3
Source: RefSeq, a predicted model, not a curated record